UGGGGAAUUUUGGACAAUGGGGGAAACCCUGAUCCAGCCAUCCCGCGUGUGCGAUGAAGGCCUUCGGGUUGUAAAGCACUUUUGGCAGGAAAGAAACGUCGCGGGUUAAUACCCCGCGAAACUGACGGUACCUGCAGAAUAAGCACCGGCUAACUACGUGCCAGCAGCCGCGGUAAUACGUAGGGUGCAAGCGUUAAUCGGAAUUACUGGGCGUAAAGCGUGCGCAGGCGGUUCGGAAAGAAAGAUGUGAAAUCCCAGAGCUUAACUUUGGAACUGCAUUUUUAACUACCGGGCUAGAGUGUGUCAGAGGGAGGUGGAAUUCCGCGUGUAGCAGUGAAUGCGUAGAUAUGCGGAGGAACACCGAUGGCGAAGGCAGCCUCCUGGGAUAACACUGACGCUCAUGCACGAAAGCGUGGGGAGCAAACAGGAUUAGAUACCCUGGUAGUCCACGCCCUAAACGAUGUCAACUAGCUGUUGGGGCCUUCGGGCCUUGGUAGCGCAGCUAACGCGUGAAGUUGACCGCCUGGGGAGUACGGUCGCAAGAUU
RNAcentral lists this ribosomal RNA (546 nucleotides) under uncultured bacterium. RNAcentral's name for it is "partial 16S ribosomal RNA". It matches the Rfam family "Bacterial small subunit ribosomal RNA", at positions 355 to 895 of the family's 1533-position model. The record is from RNAcentral.